UUGUGUUUCAAAAGGAAGUUAUUUAGAGCAACUGCUAAGCAAGAACAUUUAUCAAAGACACUAGUUCUGAAUGAAAAUCAGAUAGCUGCAUAGUCCAACUAGCUAGGAGCUAUGCGUGCUCUUACUAUCUUCAGGUCAAGCUAAUUUCAUGGCACACAUAACUAUAUCCUGAAGCGGCUGAUGCAACCAACUUAGCACUAAUAAACUGAAGAACAACCAAACCACACUUCUUAAGCAAUUGGAGUACAAAUAGUUCUUUUUUUGCUUUAGGCUACCCUCAAACAGAGCAACUCUUCUACAACCUAUUUGGCAAAUAAUGAGAAGAGGGAUAUGAGUUUAUUAGAGGAGGGAAUUAGUAGUAUAUUGGCCAAGGGAAUUAGUUUUUACUCCCAAUUCUUUG
This 400-nucleotide long non-coding RNA is filed under the name Hordeum vulgare. Its description in RNAcentral is "long non-coding RNA (HVUL_LNC010509)". The record is from RNAcentral. Lineage: Eukaryota; Viridiplantae; Streptophyta; Magnoliopsida; Poales; Poaceae.